RNAcentral lists this ribosomal RNA (492 nucleotides) under uncultured bacterium. RNAcentral's name for it is "partial 16S ribosomal RNA". It matches the Rfam family "Bacterial small subunit ribosomal RNA", at positions 29 to 507 of the family's 1533-position model. The record is from RNAcentral.
AGUGAACGCUGGCGGUAGGCCUAACACAUGCAAGUCGAACCGCAGCACGGUAAGAGCUUGCUCUUACGGGUGGCGAGUGGCGGACGGGUGAGGAAUACAUCGGAAUCUACUUUUUCGUGGGGGAUAACGUAGGGAAACUUACGCUAAUACCGCAUACGACCUACGGGUGAAAGCAGGGGAUCUUCGGACCUUGCGCGAUUGAAUGAGCCGAUGUCGGAUUAGCUAGUUGGCGGGGUAAAGGCCCACCAAGGCGACGAUCCGUAGCUGGUCUGAGAGGAUGAUCAGCCACACUGGAACUGAGACACGGUCCAGACUCCUACGGGAGGCAGCAGUGGGGAAUAUUGGACAAUGGGCGCAAGCCUGAUCCAGCCAUACCGCGUGGGUGAAGAAGGCCUUCGGGUUGUAAAGCCCUUUUGUUGGGAAAGAAAAGCAGCAGGUUAAUACCCCGCUGUUCUGACGGUACCCAAAGAAUAAGCACCGGCUAACUCCGUG